This 2585-nucleotide long non-coding RNA is filed under the name Malus domestica (apple). RNAcentral's name for it is "long non-coding RNA (MDOM_LNC000290)". The record is from RNAcentral. Lineage: Eukaryota; Viridiplantae; Streptophyta; Magnoliopsida; Rosales; Rosaceae.
UGAGCCGAAUUGAGUGACUACUUUUCUCCGUCCGCCGUGCUGCCUACUCUAAUGUAAGGUGGAGGAUGCCCAUUAUGGGCCUAGACGUGAAUUAACACUUUGCCUGGAAGGUUGUCCAUGUUGAUUAUCAGAGUGUUGCCGUAACCAUGAAUGUAUACUCGUCUGUGGGCUUAAUCAGGAGUGCACACUCCUUCGCACUCUAAGACGAGAGUAUACACUAUCUCAGGGGUCCAGUCGAGAGUGUACAUUGCCAGAAUGCUCGGUUCAUGGCUGGUCGAGACAUUGCUAGAAAGGUUCGUCGUCUACCCUUAUCCUACUUCAGGACACCUCAUCUGGGGCACGCUGCAUCUUUGUACGCUGCAAAAGCUUAUUCACCAAGGUCGUUUGCUGCGUGAGAGCGCUUGUCAACUCUAUGACUUGUCGAAACAAGUGUUGUUCGCCAUGUGGCUUGGAAGAGCCUGGACAGUAUGCGUGUCCUUAAGUGGUGGAAAUGUAAUGGACUCCGGGCGUAAGAUUUGAGCUGGGAUAUGUCAAAUUUAUGAAAAAACGGGGUGAAAAUACCUUUGGUUCAAUCGUCGGUCUAGAAAUCUAAAGUUGGGAUGGUUGAAUUGGUCUUAGACCAAUUUGGGCAGUUACGUUGGCCAUAGGAGUAGGCUAGACCGCAUGUACAAGUUGGAUCACGGGCACGAGUUAGAUUGUGGGUGUGUGUUGGUCCCCCGAGGCACGUGGACGCUGGGCCCUUCCUUCUCUCGGUGCGGCUUGGGCUAGCUGCAUUGCAGCUGAAGGAUAUAUUUGUGAAAACAAGUUCAAUUGAGCAAUAUCUACAACAUGGAAUUAACAAUUAAAGACGGAAUCAUGCUUGUAUGCACUCAAAAACAAAACUUUACCCAUGAAAUUCAAGGCCUAGUGAGUGUGGUGAACCAAGACUUAACUCAAUAACAAAGUGAGUUGAGAAAUAUUAUACCUUUGUUGAUUCCUCUUUGCAUAAGCAAAGGCUAAUCACCCAAGAGAUAGGGCCUUCAUUCCUUACUUCUUAGCUCUAUGGAUUUCUUGGAUGAGGAUGGUAGAAUGGAUUCUCCAAGUUCCCAAAAAAGGGAACCUCUAAGUCUCCACACCAAGGAAAGCAUUGAUGAGGAGAUGAGUAAGAUUUAGAUGCUAGUAAAACCUUCCUAGGCUGGCCGGCCUCUUAGAGAGAAAAGGGAGCUUGUGUUCUCAUCUGUUCUCUAAAAGAAACCCUUAGGAUGAAAUGGCUAUAAAGUUGCCUUUAUACCACUUCACAAUGGAGUGGCAAACUUGCAAUUAAGCCAAGUUCACUACCCCUCUCUAUUUGGCCGGCCAUUAAGGGUUCAUUGGGCUUUCAAGCCCUUUGUGUUUUCAAGUUGUCAUACAACUUGAGUUAAUGGGCUUGGCAUUUAAAUCCCAUUGGGCUUUGAGGCCUAAAAUUAACUCGAGGUCUAUAGCGAACAUAUUUGUUUGAUUAAUUAACAUAUUAAUUAAUCCUAGCCAUAAAUAAUUGAACCAUUUAAUUAUCUUUACUCAUCUCCGUUGUUUCUUCAAUCUCUACCUUACUCGGUGUACGAUCCAUUAGGUCUGUUUUAGCAAGGUAGUGGGCGAUUGUUACUCUUAACGAUCAAUUGUGAAUUGAAACAUACUUUCAAUUCUCCCUUUAGUGAUUACUCACCUUUAGGGCUUCUACAAACCAUGAAUGACACCUAGCAAUAUGUCAUGGCUACCCAAGCUAAUCAGAAGAGGUGGAGAACUUAUUCAAUUUAGGAUUACAAUGCGAUACGGUCUUUGUUGGAAAUGUGCCCUAAAGCCAAUCAUAUGAUGAUACUUUACGAACAUUUCACAUGUUAAACUAAUCUAGUUUAAUAUAAAGGGCAACGAUUAUUAUUUAAAGAUGUCUCAUAUAAAUGUUAUAUGCUUAAACGAUAAGUCCAAGGAAUAUGUAAUUGGGAGAAUGUGAUCUAAAGAAGUUAGAUUCAUGAGACCAUUCUCUUUCAUAUACAUAUCCUAAAGUUUCCUAAUUAUAGAAUUUCCAAUUGGGCAUUGACAGUUUGUUAAGAUCAGUACAUGUUAUGUCGUUUUCUCUCAGGGAGAGUGACUGGUCUCAAGUCAUUGGUGUGAUUGACACCAAGACAAGUACAUAUGUGCUCAAUAGAGAAUGAGUCCAUUGAAUGCGAUCAACAAGGAGUUCUCAUACUCUUGUCACAUGGGAACUCAUGGUUGGGAUAAUGCAAAAUUGUCCUUUGACCUGAGGCAUCAUAGUUGUCUUGUGGUUAGGUCCUUGAUCUUUGACUAUGUCAAAGUCACUCCGUUAGAGGUAGGGAUGGGCAAAAUACCCGCGGUUAUGGGUUACCGCAGUUACCCGCCCAUUUAAACUUCACGGUUAUGGUUAUGGAUAACUGUUUAGAUAAAUAAACAAUUAUGGGUAUAACCGUUUACCUGUGAAAUUUAAAUGGGUGGUUAUGGGUAAACCCCGUAUGCCACUGAAGCUCAAGGGAAAAUUUUAUAGGACGGUAAUAAGGCCGGCGAUGCUGUAUGGCACAGAAUGUUGGGCGGUGAAACAUCAACACGUACACAAA